ACCGUAGGAAACAGAUGACUAAUACCGGAUAACAACAGAUGAUGCCUAUCAACUGUUUAAAAGAUGGUUCUGCUAUCACUCUUGGAUGGACCUGCGGUGCAUUAGCUAGUUGGUAGGGUAACGGCCUACCAAGGCGAUGAUGCAUAGCCGAGUUGAGAGACUGAUCGGCCACAUUGGGACUGAGACACGGCCCAAACUCCUACGGGAGGCAGCAGGU
RNAcentral lists this ribosomal RNA (217 nucleotides) under uncultured Lactobacillus sp. Its description in RNAcentral is "partial 16S ribosomal RNA". It matches the Rfam family "Bacterial small subunit ribosomal RNA", at positions 146 to 354 of the family's 1533-position model. Lineage: Bacteria; Bacillati; Bacillota; Bacilli; Lactobacillales; Lactobacillaceae. The record is from RNAcentral.